RNAcentral lists this long non-coding RNA (270 nucleotides) under Drosophila guanche. The record is from RNAcentral. Lineage: Eukaryota; Metazoa; Arthropoda; Insecta; Diptera; Drosophilidae.
UGGCGCCUGAGCUCUAACUUUCAGAUGUCAUCACAAAAUACAUUUGGCAAAAUUCAAGAAAUAUUUUCCAGUGUCCGCAAGGUAUCAGAAGUGGCCAAUUUUCUGCUGGCUUGCAGUUAUCGUUGCUAUACUCCCCCAUAUAUAUGCUCAAGGAUCUCCAUUGGAUCGAAGUCAUGUGCGUCUUUUUCUACAUCAUCGUCUCCUUUCUCCUACUUCUCUGCAUCACCAUGCUGGUGGUGCUGGUGCAUUGGAAUACAAUGUAGCCUCUGG